RNAcentral lists this ribosomal RNA (492 nucleotides) under uncultured bacterium. RNAcentral's name for it is "partial 16S ribosomal RNA". It matches the Rfam family "Bacterial small subunit ribosomal RNA", at positions 29 to 507 of the family's 1533-position model. The record is from RNAcentral.
AGUGAACGCUGGCGGUAGGCCUAACACAUGCAAGUCGAACGGCAGCACAGUAAGAGCUUGCUCUUACGGGUGGCGAGUGGCGGACGGGUGCGGAAUACAUCGGAAUCUACUUUUUCGUGGGGGAUAACGUAGGGAAACUUACGCUAAUACCGCAUACGACCUACGGGUGAAAGCAGGGGAUCUUCGGACCUUGCGCGACUGAAUGAGCCGAUGUCGGAUUAGCUAGUUGGCGGGGUAAAGGCCCACCAAGGCGACGAUCCGUAGCUGGUCUGAGAGGAUGAUCAGCCACACUGGAACUGAGACACGGUCCAGACUCCUACGGGAGGCAGCAGUGGGGAAUAUUGGACAAUGGGCGCAAGCCUGAUCCAGCCAUGCCGCGUGGAUGAAGAAGGCCUUCGGGUUGUAAAGCCCUUUUGUAGGGAAAGAAAAGCAGCAGGUUAAUACCGCGGUGUUCUGACGGUACCCAAAGAAUAAGCACCGGCUAACUUCGUG